GAGACGGCUCAUAGUUCUAAGGAAGGCAGCAGGCGCGGAAAUUGCCCAAUGUACCGUUGUGUACGGGGCAGUGACGAGGCGUCGUGAGUCACUUAGGUGACAUUACGAUGAGUGAGGUGUACAGACCCUCGCAAAUGCAAGUCGUGGGAAAGCAUGGUGCCAGCAGCCGCGGUAAUUCCAUCAUGACUAACUCAUUCUUACGGUGCUGCAGUUAAAGCGUCCGUAGCUGGCGGCCUGCCGACUCGAGGAACUCUCGACGCCCAACGUAGCGAGCGCGGUGAGCUGCAGCGAGUUACGGCAACAACAACUAUCGCUAUAGGACAGGGGAAGGCUCCUUCUAUUAUAGGGGGACAGGUGAAAUAGGAUGAUGCCUAUAGGAGGAACAAGUGCGCAGGCACUGAGUCGUCCCCGGUUCGUGGGUCAAGGGCGUUAUCGUGGGGCUAGACGAUGAUUAGAGACCGUUUUACUCCACGUCGUAAACGAUGCUACCUCGCUGUG
Molecule: ribosomal RNA, 498 nt
Filed under: Spironucleus salmonis
Lineage: Eukaryota; Fornicata; Diplomonadida; Hexamitidae
Description: partial small subunit ribosomal RNA
Rfam family: Eukaryotic small subunit ribosomal RNA
Source: RNAcentral